CCAGCAAGAUUAAAAUAAGAUUAAGUCACUAGAAAAUCCUUUGAGAUGUACUACUACUGCGAAACCAAAAAUCGGAGCUGAAAAUUAAGAUCAAACCAAUAAGCACUCUCCCAUGUCAGUCAUAAGGCUUCACAAGUGAAAUAUGAGCCUUCAAGCAACUGCCUGCAUGCUUCGUAUCCAAAAUGCAGAAGCAUUUAUCCCCUGUUGCAUAAGUACUCACUUCGUACUUGGAUUAAUCAGUGGCAUAAUCUUGCCCCAAUUGUUUUGCACAUUGAAAUGGUACACGUAGUUGCUCAAUUAGAGGUAAUCCGAGAGGCAAAUGUGGAUUUUACUCAUACACAAACACGCUGAUCGCGCAGCGAACCACCAAAUUCCCCAGCGGGCGGAACCUGAAGCAACACCACCACCGCAAAAUCAACCACUACCCGUACCGGCAACACCUUGGAAGCCAUGAACCUAGGGUUUGGAGUUGGGGAUUUACCUCAUAGAGGCUCUUGCUCUCUACGGCGGCCGGCGCGGGCUCCUGCUCCUCCUCACCACUGCCGUCGCCGUCGCGGGAAACCCUAGCCUU
RNAcentral lists this long non-coding RNA (571 nucleotides) under Oryza sativa (Asian cultivated rice). RNAcentral's name for it is "long non-coding RNA (OSAT_LNC001986)". The record is from RNAcentral. Lineage: Eukaryota; Viridiplantae; Streptophyta; Magnoliopsida; Poales; Poaceae.